AGUACGCUGGCGGCAGGCCUAUCACAUGCAAGUCGAGCGGAUGAAGGGAGCUUGCUCCUGGAUUCAGCGGCGGACGGGUGAGUAAUGCCUAGGAAUCUGCCUGGUAGUGGGGGAUAACGUCCGGAAACGGGCGCUAAUACCGCAUACGUCCUGAGGGAGAAAGUGGGGGAUCUUCGGACCUCACGCUAUCAGAUGAGCCUAGGUCGGAUUAGCUAGUUGGUGGGGUAAAGGCCUACCAAGGCGACGAUCCGUAACUGGUCUGAGAGGAUGAUCAGUCACACUGGAACUGAGACACGGUCCAGACUCCUACGGGAGGCAGCAGUGGGGAAUAUUGGACAAUGGGCGAAAGCCUGAUCCAUCCAUGCCGCGUGUGUGAAGAAGGUCUUCGGAUUGUAAAGCACUUUAAGUUGGGAGGAAGGGCAGUAAGUUAAUACCUUGCUGUUUUGACGUUACCAACAGAAUAAGCACCGGCUAACUUCGUGCAGCCCCGCCCGCGGUA
This 499-nucleotide ribosomal RNA is filed under the name Pseudomonas aeruginosa. RNAcentral's name for it is "bacterial SSU rRNA". It matches the Rfam family "Bacterial small subunit ribosomal RNA", at positions 31 to 522 of the family's 1533-position model. The record is from RNAcentral. Lineage: Bacteria; Pseudomonadati; Pseudomonadota; Gammaproteobacteria; Pseudomonadales; Pseudomonadaceae.